GUCAGGCGAGCUAGGUAAAAUGUUUGACAUCCCCGUCCUCGAUCAACACUCUCCUACUGGGCCUUCUCCUCCUCCUAUACCCAAGCAACCCUCGCGCCAUUCCUCCUCUUCUCAACACAAUAGCGGAUCCGUCCGAUCCGGGCCCAACUCCGGACCAGUCAAGAAAUCCUCCGGUCCUAUGCCCCUCCAGCCCACCGGUCUCAUCACCUCCGGACCCCUUGGCUCCGGUCCAUUGGGCUCCGGUUCGCUUCCACCAUCCCACAGGAGAUCCGGCCAGCUCGACCAUACUGCCUCAGUAAUUGGAUCCGGCUCUAGCAAGGCGC
RNAcentral lists this long non-coding RNA (323 nucleotides) under Jatropha curcas. Its description in RNAcentral is "long non-coding RNA (JCUR_LNC003316)". The record is from RNAcentral. Lineage: Eukaryota; Viridiplantae; Streptophyta; Magnoliopsida; Malpighiales; Euphorbiaceae.